Hippocampus zosterae (dwarf seahorse) is the source of this 4162-nucleotide long non-coding RNA. RefSeq lists it as uncharacterized. The transcript has 3 exons. NCBI's taxonomy places the organism in Eukaryota, Metazoa, Chordata, Actinopteri, Syngnathiformes, Syngnathidae. The record is from RefSeq and is a predicted model, not a curated record.
UACAUGUUAUGUGGGAGUGGCAACUCAAACAGAAUUUCACCCAGAUUUACCAAACUUUAACCUUUCGGCAAUUAUGGUACAGAAAAGUCUAAAUGAGAUUACAAUGCAAUGCAAGGAAAUGUGUUUGUGUAGCACCAUUCAUUAAAAGAAUUUCAUAUCAAAUCGGUUGCAGCCCAACAGUCAUCUGCGCUGUUAACCCAACAGGGCGGUGGUGGAAUACAAUACAAUACAAUACAAUACAUGCUGAUUUAUAUAGCGCUUUCACAACAGCGGCAGCUGUAACAAAGCGCUUUACAAAACAGUUAACAUAAAGUAAAAUAAUAAACACAACACAUAACAUAAAACACAGACAGUCGUGCAGUCCUAACCACUUUUCCGUCACACGCUUUGUUGUUUGAAGCAGUUUGAGAUGAAAGAGGAGAGAAUCAAAGUGUCCUUUAACCAGUGGAUCAGAGACGUCAUGCUCAAAAUGUGCACACGUCGGCUACAAGCUAAGUUUCAAAGUCAACAAGAAGCUGUAGCAUCCAUUGACGAAAAAAGAGAUUGGUUCACUUCUCCUGGAAUGUCUCAGGUGUGCAAAUGUGUCAGAUUGAGUGAAGAUUGAAAUUGAGGGUUAUCAUGUUUAUUGUUAUGAGUCUUUACGGUUCUCAGGUGAGAAGGUGCUAAGACAAUGUUGUUAAGAGCAGCCAAGAGAGUGUCCUGAUUGAGGCAGCUUUUAAUUGGCAUGUUGACCAAGGCAUCAGGGAUGAAAAAGAAAUAAUGGUCAGACUGGAAAUCCAGGACAGGAAGCGCAAGGGACAGACUAUGCUACACUUAGGCAAAAGAAUGGAAAUAGCUGUUGGAAACACUUUCUUACAGAUGAGGCAGGAACAUGACGCUAGAAGCACAUAUGUACAUACAUCUUGUACAGGCGAUGUCAAUAAGGAAUUGGGAGCAAUUGUUAAUCCAACAAUAGUCUGCCAUGAGGAUGUAAAUUGAAUCAAUUUAUCUCAAGGUCUCAGUAGGAGAUGUGUGCAAUUCAAUCAAGAAGGUGAGGUGUCUGGCUCCAGGUCUCCCUAGCGGCAUGUCACAAUCGGUGAUUAUAUCAGGACUGUCACCAAAUGGCAUUGUGUUAGAGGACUGGUCGCCAGGAAGACAAAGGCAGAGCAGAGAAAGGAAUGGAAGCUAAGAAAGAGUGCUGCGCGGCUUUCACAAUAGAGCUGAGAUAGGCUUUUGGUAGGCAGGAAGAACUUGGGCAGUGUGGGAUCGGUUCCCACUCAGUGAUGAUAUGAAUGUGGGUGUGAAUGUUCAUUUGCCGCUAUGCGACUGAUUGGCGAGCAGUUCAGGGAGUAGUCUGCCUUCCACCCAAAGUCAGCUGGGAUAGGCUCCAGCAACUUCCCGCGACCCUCUUCAGGAUAAACGGUGCUGAAAAUGGAUGGAUGGAUGACAUCUUGAGCUCAUUAGAUUUGGGUUUUGUGAUAAAAGGGUCUUUGCUUGGCUGAAGGGAAGAUCAGAAGUGAAGAAAACAAGACCGUUUUGAGGGCAGCCAUGAUAUGCUGCUCUGAGGCACAACAGGAUGCACAUCUGGAGAUGGAGAUGUUGAGGUUCUCCUUAGGAGCAAUCAGGGUGGAUGGGAUAAGAAAUUAGAUGAUCAGAUGAACAGCCAAGUUUGGAAAUCUUUGGAGACAAAGUUAGAGUCACCAGACUUGGAGGUUUGUAAACUCACAAGUAGUGAGUUUAUUGGUAGUGUGAUGAGGAGGAGGGAGCUGCCAUGCAAUACAGCUACAGGAAAACGUUAGAGGUGGUUCAUGGAUGGAGUGAAGAAACACAGAAGGGUAGUUGGUGUAAUAAAGGAGCAUGCAGAAGACAUAGUAGGUUGAGAUCGAAAAGGAUGUUGUACGAUGGCUACCUCCAGAAGGAUACGCCAAAAGAAAAAAAUAUAUAUUCAUUUUGCUGAAAUGAAUAGUCUACGACCAUUUUUAACUUUUGAGACAUUUCCUGUAUCAGUUUAUAGCUCACAUUGCAUUGUUUUGAGUCUCGGCCUUCAAUAGACCACCUAUUUGUGGUCCUGAACUGGUAUUCCCUUCGCUUUGUGUUUUGAUUGGGUCAGCACGGACUUAUUUAUGCAUGCCACCGGAAAGGCCGCAAAGUCAUUAAUUGCUGGGGAAAAUAUGUUGAGCUCUCUAACUUUAUUACUUUUGUGUUCAUUUGUACAUUUGUUAUUCCACUUGGCCCAUUCAUGGGCAAAGAAUGUCACUGUGGCUGGAGACUGGAUAAGCAGAGGGCAUGAUUCACUCAGUGCUAAAUUGUGUUUUUCGGGUUAUACCGUAUUUUCCAGAUUACAAGCAGCUACCUUUUAAUAUUUACGGGCUAAUGAGCUUCAUGUGGUCAGUACUUUCACACCCGCCAUUGGUUGUCUCAUUUCUCAAAUGGGUUAGUCUCAAAUCACGGAAUGGCGAGAGCUCAGAGAUGUCGCCCAAGAGUGAGCGAGCACAAACCCCCCCGUGUGGUGUCACGCAUAAAAAAAAUAAAAUAAUUGAGGAUUGUGCUGACAAUUUCCAAUGAUUCCAAGUGUGUCUGAGGUGAGACUAGCUUUGAAAAAUACGUUUCAUGGCAAUUCCACGCCAGGGCCACCAUGACUGUUGGUCAGCACCAAAAAACUAUGCCCGGCAAAAUUGUUAGCAACGUAAGAGAACUUCUAUUUAACAAAAAACAAGUGUCUGAUCUGAAGAAAUCUAUCAAAUUACUAUGUGGAGAAUUGUUAGAUUUUAUUUUUGUGUGGAUACCACAACACAUAUUUUCGGACAACAAAUCAGGUUACCGUAGAAUACAUGAGUACAGAAAACAGGCUUAUACCAAACACACAUAUUCAUACAAAGAGGAAGGAACAAUAUUUUCAGAAAUUGAGUAAAAGCGAUUACCCUGCAUAUCUGACCAUCUUUCCUCUGACUGCAGCCCUCAAAUGGUUUUGUGGUGAUAUUCUGACGUGAGCCCCACUUACCUGAACCCGCAACAGAGUAGAAUAAUCUCCACUGCACAGCCUGUUACUUGGGUCACUCGGAAUUCACUGCUGCGAGCACACUUUUUUUCGUUCAACUUCGUUUUUGAAAAUGUUCACAAAUUGACACUUUGCCAGCUGUCGGAGCCUAGAUUCGAAGAAAAUGGCAAGUUCCAGGUUUGUUGCUAAAAGGAAAGAAAGUAUUCUUAAUCCGCUCUGAAUACAUUUUUGUGGAUUUAUGAUAAAGUUCAUUUUAUUUGAAUAUCCCAGGCAUGGGAUUUUCACAUAUGGUGAGUGACUUUCAGCGCCAGAGCCCAAAAUUCCAAAGUACAGAGAGUAGACCCUGUAAGAAAAAUUCUGGGGUAAAUUAUUUUUAUUUACCACCCCAUAGAUUUCUUUCAUUCUGUUCAUCAUCAUCGGUCACUCUGAAACAGCUUUGAUUGAUUGAUUGAUUGAUUCUGUUUUCGAGUACAUUCCACACAAUGCUCACACUACAACAAUCAACAAUCAUACAGAAUGGUGACAGAAUGGGACAGGAACAAACGAAUUUCUUUUUUUUAUUAGUUUUUUCUGCUAAGGGAAAUUCAUAAGGGAGCAACUCCAAAUAAAUUCAAGCACUUUGAAUUAGGUUACUAAUCACUAAAUUGAAAAACAGGGAACAUCGAGAUUUGGCACUAGGUGUGGAGGACAAGAUUAAUGUAACGCCCUCUGCCAGGGCACUGUGACCUGAGUUUGACAUGCACAGUUUAAAAGACACUGACAGCUGGAGUUCUAGUGAAAUUACCAAUCAGUAUAACCGUUUAAAUCUAUAAAGUUUGUAUCAGUAUUGUGGCUGAGAGGAAGGCAUACUUUUAGGGAGACAAAUCUCACGGCACACCAGGGGAUGGUGUGCCUCUGACAAAAAAAUAUAUUUUUUCUGUCAUCUAAUAGAAUAUCAUUUAGUUGUUCUUUCUGUCAAGAUAAGUUUCUGGAUAAGGUAAAUUGGCAAGGAUACACUAACUGUUAUACUAAACAAAUACAUUUCUAACCAAUUUAGUGACAUUUGAGAGCCCGCACUAAUUGUAAGUGGCAAUAUUGACCAGCCGCUUGUGCAGGGUUUUUCACCCUCUCAGGGGGACCGCGGUUACUACAGUGGACGGUUUAUCAUGUUAUCAGGUUACAGAUUAAUGCAAAUGGCGUGAGCGU